CGGCGCUGGCUGUCACCUGGCGCGGGGCUGCAGAUCCUACCAAAGCUAGACCUUCCCUCCCCAAGCUGCUGGACAGCCCUGGCUGGUCGAUAAAGAAUGAAGACUGUCUGUACCAUUUUGAUUACCUCUUCUAGGGUUCAAAGAGAGAAUCAUUUCCCCUGACCUUCAUUUGCUAAUGGCUCAGCUUGAUCUAACUGGUAUACAGAUAAACUUGCUGUUAAACAAAAAUUCCUGUAGGAAGAACCACCUCAAUGUCCAAAAUUCCUUUGCCCCUGCUGGUAUCGGUGGCUCUCAGUAACCAUCUAAAAGCCGAACUACGCAAAGUCACGAGAGCUGUUCACAAGAAGCUUGUAUAUGAAUGGACAAUGCUGCCAUCCUCUUGAGAGAUGAGACGAAGGACCCUUCACAAUGACAGCUCUGCAAGUUCCAAAUAUGAGAGUCGUGCAUACGGAGUGUCAUGCAUUGUCUCCAGAGUGAUCUUCGUUCUCGUUAAGCUAAUUUCACCUCUUGUCACAAGUUUUGGUUUUGGGAUUUAGACCAUCAUUAGCCACGGAACUCCUGUGUAAAUCACUUCUUUCUUUUUCCUUUUUUUUUUCCCUAUUUUGCACAAAGACUGUUAAUAGGACUGUUAGUGGAAUAAGUAAAGCCAAUAUUCACAGGGUUUAACUUUGUACCAAUAGCACCUUUUGCCCCAGAAUGCCUUACAAACACCAUACAGCACGCAUGUCCCAGUGUACAACUUGUCAUGAAAUUUCUGUUCACUUAGGCACCACCUUAGUUUCCCAAGCUGACUUUUAGGGACAUUUCAGCACAUAGCAUCUCAUACAAUAAGUCAGACGCCACCCAGAGGUGCCUUUCAGGUCUGAGAGCUUUCUCCGUGAAUGUAUUCAGAGCUAAAGAGACCAUGCGUGCAUCCUGCGGGUUGAUGCCGUCCACCUAACGGGAGCAUCCUGAAGUGACUGAGGGAAUGGCAGAAGGAGGGCACGCUGGGGCUCCUCCUGUCCGACUGUGGGUGCGACGCGUAGGUGUUUACUGCGAUGAGCACCGCAAAACGUGGCUUGUGGCUGCGGAAGAGGAGGAAGGUAUGCUGAGGGCUCGGAUCCAAAGAGUUCAGGUUCCCCUGGGUGAGGCGCUGCGACCCAGCCAGCUCCCCCCAUCCCGGCUGCCUCAUAUGUGGCAGCUGUCCCAGGGUGAGCAGUACAGGGAUAGUAACUCUCGCGUUUGGGAGAUAGAGCACCAUCUCAUGCUUGGUGGUGUUGAAGAACUGCUGCUUAAACUCGUGCCUGGUGAUUAAUCUGUUCUCUGAACAUGUCCCAGAAGGAUCCCUGCCAGAAACAAGCCUGUGAAAUACAGAAAUGCUUGCAAGUGAACAACUACAUGGAGUCUAAGUGUGAAACUGUGCUUCAGGAGAUGAGGAAGUGCUGCGCCCGGUACCCCAAGGGCAGAUCCAUCUGUUGUUCAGGGUUUGAGAAA
This is an RNA transcript of Tyto alba (common barn owl), 1473 nucleotides long. It is a transcript of the gene named mature T cell proliferation 1, with no coding region annotated. The record is from RefSeq and is a predicted model, not a curated record. The transcript has 7 exons. Lineage: Eukaryota; Metazoa; Chordata; Aves; Strigiformes; Tytonidae.